AGUGAACGCUGGCGGUAGGCCUAACACAUGCAAGUCGAACGGCAGCACAGUAAGAGCUUGCUCUUACGGGUGGCGAGUGGCGGACGGGUGAGGAAUACAUCGGAAUCUACUUUUUCGUGGGGGAUAACGUAGGGAAACUUACGCUAAUACCGCAUACGACCUACGGGUGAAAGCAGGGGAUCUUCGGACCUUGCGCGAUUGAAUGAGUCGAUGUCGGAUUAGCUAGUUGGCGGGGUAAAGGCCCACCAAGGCGACGAUCCGUAGCUGGUCUGAGAGGAUGAUCAGCCACACUGGAACUGAGACACGGUCCACACUCCUACGGGAGGACGCAGUGGGGAAUAUUGGACAAUGGGCGCAAGCCUGAUCCAGCCAUACCGCGUGGGUGAAGAAGGCCUUAGGGUUGUAAAGCCCUUUUGUUGGGAAAGAAAAGCAGCAGGUUAAUACCCCGCUGUUCUGACGGUACCCAAAGAAUAAGCACCGGCUAACUUCGUG
Molecule: ribosomal RNA, 492 nt
Filed under: uncultured bacterium
Lineage: Bacteria
Description: partial 16S ribosomal RNA
Rfam family: Bacterial small subunit ribosomal RNA
Source: RNAcentral